UUGAACGCUGGCGGCAUGCUUUACACCUGCAAGUCGAACGGUAACAGGCCUUCGGGUGCUGACGAGUGGCGAACGGGUGAGUAAUGCAUCGGAACGUGCCCAGAGGUGGGGGAUAACGCAGCGAAAGCUGUGCUAAUACCGCAUGUGAUCUGAGGAUGAAAGCGGGGGACCAAGCAGCAAUGUUUGGCCUCGCGCCUCUGGAGCGGCCGAUGUCAGAUUAGGUAGUUGGUGGGGUAAAGGCCUACCAAGCCGACGAUCUGUAGCUGGUCUGAGAGGACGACCAGCCACACUGGGACUGAGACACGGCCCAGACUCCUACGGGAGGCAGCAGUGGGGAAUUUUGGACAAUGGGCGCAAGCCUGAUCCAGCAAUGCCGCGUGCGGGAAGAAGGCCUUCGGGUUGUAAACCGCUUUUGUACGGAACGAAAAGGCUCUGGCUAAUACCUGGGGCUGAUGACGGUACCGUAAGAAUAAGCACCGGCUAACUACGUG
Molecule: ribosomal RNA, 491 nt
Filed under: uncultured bacterium
Lineage: Bacteria
Description: partial 16S ribosomal RNA
Rfam family: Bacterial small subunit ribosomal RNA
Source: RNAcentral